Molecule: transfer RNA, 65 nt
Filed under: Hypoderaeum conoideum
Lineage: Eukaryota; Metazoa; Platyhelminthes; Trematoda; Plagiorchiida; Echinostomatidae
Also listed under: 1 other name
Description: tRNA-Gly
Source: RNAcentral
ACGUCGGUAGUAUAAAUCAGUAUGCCGUCUUUCCAAGUCGGAGGUCUAAAGCUUUAGCUGACGUA